UUUUAGACAUUUUUUGAAUUUUAAGAGAUACCAUACCUACUACAUCAUGUAUAAUCAAUUUAUGUUUACCCUUCAAUACACAUUACAUUUCCAUUUCAGAAAUUAAUCACAUUAAACAUUAAUGCUUCAUAAAUUAAAUCAAACGAUAAUCUUCCAUUAAUUAAAUGACUUUCUUUCUUUAUUUCCCCCAACCACACACUGUUAUCUCCAACCUUCCGCCAUUAAAACUCACACUCAGUUUAUCUAGCGAUUUCUAUUUCAAAUUUUGAAUCCUAAAAUCUCAUAUUCUCUAUUUACAAAGUUCCAAGGAAUAUGGAAACAUAAUGAAAUGUUUCAUGGCUUAGGUACGUUUUCUACAAUAUUCUUUCUCUAAAUGUUGUUUUUUUUCCUUUACCGUAUACCUAAUUGGAUUUCUUGUUAAAAUAAUGUGUGCUCAAUGGAUAUAAUGGUAAUUUUGGGUUUCGAUGGCGAUGACGAUAUGAUUCAUCUUCUCCACUUCCUAGUCGGUAAUCCUCAAUUCCAUUUUUCUCUAUAAAUUUUCUUUUUUGAACCGCAAUUUUACGGUUUUAGAUGCGGCCUCAUCUGAUAAGCAUGUCAAUAUGUUGAUUUUUUUUGUGGAAUUGAGUAUCUAACACCGACAUCAAGAGUGCUAGACCCAUCAUGGUCGCAUAUGGUCAUCUUGGUAAGCAACCAUGAGUUCCUUUGUUACAGGUCAUCUCUCAUUUGUUCCCUGUAACUAAUCAUGAGCUUAUUUGUUGAAUGUUAUAUUUAAUCUAUUCUUGCAUGGCUAUUUCAAAUUUAUGGUUUUUUUACAAUCCACUCGUAAUCAUAUAUAAUCAUAUUGACAUUUCUCAACAGUUGCAUUUUUUGUUUUGUCAAGGUUGGAGAUGACUUUGGAUUUUUAUGUGGAAUUUUGUCAUAUGUCUAAGAAAGUAUAUGGUAAACAUCUUUUUUAACAUAAAAAAAAGUAAAACAUCUUUCCGUUUUACCCAUUUGUUUGUAUUGUUGGAUUCCAUUUUUGUUUUGUUUUUUAAUUAGCAUCUAGGAUUUUAAUGGUCCUAUCCAAUUUAGAAUCUUGACUCAGGUAGAUCUAGAAACCUUCCACUGUCAUUUCUUCUCCCUGUUUUGGCCACUUAUCUCAACUUCUUCAUUUUUUUUGUGCAGAAAUCAAGAAUAGUUGGGAUCUCGAGAAUGAUGGUGGCUAAAAAAAAAUUUGAUUAAAAAAAGGAGUUAUAUCCCCCUUGAAGAAAACAACUUCAAACAUAAGAAUUCUUAACUCCAAAUCUUUUAAAUUUGGGUUUCUCUAUGAGCAAAUUCUCCAUUUAUUUUUAUUCUACUGGUUGUUUUACUACACCAUUUUAAAAGAAACAACUACAACCCUAGAAAAUAGGGGAAGAUGCUCUAAACAUCAUCCAUGUAAUAUUUAUUCAUUAUAUGAAGGCAAAAGUUUAAUCCAUUUUAUGUAUAUGUACAUCAAAGUCCAUAUCUUAAUGUGAUAUUUACAUCAGCUACAUGUAAAUAGUGCAUUUCCUUUAUAGAAUAAACAAAUACUGGUAUUUUCCAAAGUGUGAUUCAGUGAUUUAUCAUUGAUAUUCUUCAAAUUUGCAUAUCUAGAGUGUUGUAAACUUCAUUUGAUGUAUAUUCUCAGGGUAUGGCCGGGUUAGAAUA
Molecule: long non-coding RNA, 1668 nt
Organism: Lactuca sativa (garden lettuce)
Lineage: Eukaryota; Viridiplantae; Streptophyta; Magnoliopsida; Asterales; Asteraceae
Source: RefSeq, a predicted model, not a curated record